This 467-nucleotide ribosomal RNA is filed under the name uncultured bacterium. RNAcentral describes it as "partial 16S ribosomal RNA". It matches the Rfam family "Bacterial small subunit ribosomal RNA", at positions 28 to 506 of the family's 1533-position model. The record is from RNAcentral.
GACGAACGCUGGCGGCGUGCUUAACACAUGCAAGUCGAACGGAAAGGCCCUGCUUUUGUGGGGUGCUCGAGUGGCGAACGGGUGAGUAACACGUGAGUAACCUGCCCUUGACUUUGGGAUAACUUCAGGAAACUGGGGCUAAUACCGGAUAGGAGCUCCUGCUGCAUGGUGGGGGUUGGAAAGUUUCGGCGGUUGGGGAUGGACUCGCGGCUUAUCAGCUUGUUGGUGGGGUAGUGGCUUACCAAGGCUUUGACGGGUAGCCGGCCUGAGAGGGUGACCGGCCACAUUGGGACUGAGAUACGGCCCAGACUCCUACAGGAGGCAGCAGUGGGGAAUAUUGCACAAUGGGCGGAAGCCUGAUGCAGCAACGCCGCGUGCGGGAUGACGGCCUUCGGGUUGUAAACCGCUUUCGCCUGUGACGAAGCGUGAGUGACGGGAAUGGGUAAAGAAGCACCGGCUAACUACGU